CAGUAGCCGCGGUAAUACGAAGGGGGCUAGCGUUGUUCGGAAUUACUGGGCGUAAAGCGCACGUAGGCGGAUAUUUAAGUCAGGGGUGAAAUCCCAGAGCCCAACUCUGGAACUGCCUUUGAUACUGGGUAUCUUGAGUAUGGAAGAGGUGAGUGGAAUUCCGAGUGUAGAGGUGAAAUUCGUAGAUAUUCGGAGGAACACCAGUGGCGAAGGCGGCUCACUGGUCCAUUACUGACGCUGAGGUGCGAAAGCGUGGGGAGCAAACAGGAUUAGAUACCCCCGUAGUCCCUGUCUCUUAUAC
Molecule: ribosomal RNA, 301 nt
Filed under: uncultured bacterium
Lineage: Bacteria
Description: partial 16S ribosomal RNA
Rfam family: Bacterial small subunit ribosomal RNA
Source: RNAcentral